GGUAAGGUCAAAUUUCUUCCCAUCCUGCUACUUUCCACAAUUCAGACUUCAAAUUCGUGGCUCCAAGAGGACUGAGCAUAUAACAAGGGUUUUCCUCUUUGAAAUUGGUAAGGUCAAAGCUUGCUUUCUUCCUGCUACUUUGCACAAAUGGACGAUUUCAGACUUCAAAUUUGUGGCUCCCAAGACGACUGUGCAUAUAACUAGGGUUUUGGAGUAUUGAUUUUCAACAACGAUUUCCCUGAGGUAUUGAUUUACAUUUCAUGGCUCCUUAGCGAUUUCUCUGAGGUUACUUAUGAUACAAUUGGGCAGGCCUCGAUAGUGUUGUAAGUCAAUUCUGCUGUGAAUGUGAAAUGUUGGUGGCUGCCGUUGCUGGACAUUAUAUUGAUGGUGUCUUUGAACACGGCGGGUCAUCGGAGCAUAAAAAAGGUGUGUUUUAGAUGUUUCCUCUUUUGUAUGGUCAUGAUUGCAAUUUGAACUAAUCUUCAAUAAACCUUCUUGGUCAUCUUGCAUUUGUUAAAUCAUAUAUAUGAGAAACUUAUGAUCUCUGUUAACAUGAAUGCAUUUCUUUAGAAUAAAUGGUAAAUAAGCUUGAUAUAGAGGAAAACAAAGUUCCAAAAAUGUGAAAGAGGGCUAGAUGAACAGCUGGGUUGGUAACUUAAUAUGAACACAGUCUCUAUGAGCUUAAGCUCUUAGUUGGGUUGGUAACUUAAUAUGAACAGCUGCCAUAAACAUAUGGCAUACACAGAUGUAUUAGACAGGUUCACUAUUUAAUUUUCAAAAACUCAUUUUCAAGUGGUCUUUAUAUGUUUACCUGCUGAUUCUGUAAAUAAGAAGAAAAAACAAUUUAAGAGAUCAAUUAGGAUACAAGUACACAUUUUCUUUAAACACCAACUGCAAAAGAAACCCUGCUUGAGUCGAAUGUAUCAAUUUUAAAUCUUUGCUUUGAACUGCUAAUCUUUUGUUAAGUGUGUAUUUCUAUCAGUUCCCCUUAUGGUUUUAUGUCAAAACUGCUUCAAAGAAAUCCAGGAUGAUGCACUUCAUGAUCAACAUCAUCCCUCCAAAUCCAGGAAGAGCAUAAGUAGGUACAAAUAUUACUUAUGUGUGAUGGCAAAGCCUGAGCUAAAGUAAUACUCUUAUUCCUGCAAGAAUCGUAGCUCCAAAUAGCAAGGGUCCCUAUACACAUUAACUAUGUUAUCUUUCUCUGUUAUUGUGUAAACAUCUAUCAUUGACAAAGGCCAUAUGAUAAUUUGUUCUAGCAAUGUUUUACUUCAAUCUA
This is a long non-coding RNA of Cynara cardunculus var. scolymus (artichoke), 1276 nucleotides long. RefSeq lists it as uncharacterized. Lineage: Eukaryota; Viridiplantae; Streptophyta; Magnoliopsida; Asterales; Asteraceae. The transcript has 2 exons. The record is from RefSeq and is a predicted model, not a curated record.